AACUGAAGCUAGGUCGGCCACUGGGGCCAAGAUUGACGGAUUUGGCGCCUAGCAAUUUGGGCUGGCGAAGCAGCGGCGCUCCAAGCAGCUGAUCCGUCGCAGCACAGAGCGAGGGAGCAGAGACGCAGAAAAAAUUCAGAGAGGCUCGACCUUCGCGGGCAGCCGGAUCGACGUCG
Molecule: long non-coding RNA, 176 nt
Organism: Drosophila miranda
Lineage: Eukaryota; Metazoa; Arthropoda; Insecta; Diptera; Drosophilidae
Exons: 2
Source: RefSeq, a predicted model, not a curated record